RNAcentral lists this unclassified non-coding RNA (410 nucleotides) under Hevea brasiliensis (rubber tree). The record is from RNAcentral. Lineage: Eukaryota; Viridiplantae; Streptophyta; Magnoliopsida; Malpighiales; Euphorbiaceae.
GCAGAUAUAGAGACUAGAGGAGCAACAAAGUGAGCUGCUGAAGAUCUUGGAGCCACAUCCCUGAAAUUCUGACGGGUAUAUUUUAUAUCCUGAUUGUAAUAUUUAUUUUGGUGUAUGUAAAUGCAUGUACAUAUAUAAACUGGUUAUGAGCAGUUGUAUGGAUUUGUAAUAAUAUUAGUUUGGAUUUUCUAAUGUAAAUUUUGGAUUGAUGAAUGUAAAUUGAUUUUUCUUUAAUGAAAUAUAAAUGAAGUUAUUUAGUAUUAUUUUUUAUGACAAUUGAAUUGAGAACUAUUUUGAAUUAUGGAGUUUGGAGAAAUGAUGUUGAUUUGUGUAGUGGUAGUAUUGGAUUUGAUGAAAUGAAUUAUUGGAAAUGUUUUUACAGGUAUUUGAAGAACUGGUUUCUCAAAAUA